RNAcentral lists this ribosomal RNA (210 nucleotides) under uncultured bacterium. Its description in RNAcentral is "partial 16S ribosomal RNA". It matches the Rfam family "Bacterial small subunit ribosomal RNA", at positions 118 to 326 of the family's 1533-position model. The record is from RNAcentral.
UGAAGAAUUUAUCCAACGGCGGGGGAUAGCCGGCCCAACGGCCGGGUAAUACCGCGUACGACCUUCGGGGGCGAUCCCCUGAUGGUGAAAGCCGCAAGGCGCCGAUGGAGAACUUCGCGGCCUAUCAGCUAGUUGGUGAGGUCAUGGCUCACCAAGGCGACGACGGGUAGCUGGUCCGAGAGGAUGACCAGCCACAUUGGGACUGAGACC